CACACGACUCUCGGCAACGGAUAUCUCGGCUCUCGCAUCGAUGAAGAACGUAGCAAAAUGCGAUACCUGGUGUGAAUUGCAGAAUCCCGUGAACCAUCGAGUUUUUGAACGCAAGUUGCGCCCGAGGCCUUCUGGCCGAGGGCACGUCUGCCUGGGCGUCACGC
RNAcentral lists this ribosomal RNA (164 nucleotides) under Eragrostis kennedyae. RNAcentral's name for it is "5.8S ribosomal RNA". It matches the Rfam family "5.8S ribosomal RNA". Rfam says of the family: 5.8S ribosomal RNA (5.8S rRNA) is a component of the large subunit of the eukaryotic ribosome. It is transcribed by RNA polymerase I as part of the 45S precursor that also contains 18S and 28S rRNA. The record is from RNAcentral. Lineage: Eukaryota; Viridiplantae; Streptophyta; Magnoliopsida; Poales; Poaceae. RNAcentral also lists the same sequence under 1 other name.